This 452-nucleotide ribosomal RNA is filed under the name uncultured bacterium. RNAcentral's name for it is "bacterial SSU rRNA". It matches the Rfam family "Bacterial small subunit ribosomal RNA", at positions 329 to 795 of the family's 1533-position model. The record is from RNAcentral.
GUCCAGACUCCUACGGGAGGCAGCAGUGGGGAAUAUUGCACAAUGGGCGAAAGCCUGAUGCAGCAACGCCGCGUGAAGGAAGAAGGGUUUCGGCUCGUAAACUUCUAUCAACAGGGACGAAAGAAAUGACGGUACCUGAAUAAGUAGCCCCGGCUAACUACGUGCCAGCAGCCGCGGUAAUACGUAGGGGGCAAGCGGUAAUCGGAAUUACUGGGCGUAAAGCGCUCGUAGGCGGUAUGUCAAGUCAAGGGUGAAAUCCCCGCGCUCAACGUGGGAACUGCCUUUGAAACUGGCAAACUGGAGUGUGUGAGAGGAUAGUGGAAUUCCAGGUGUAGGAGUGAAAUCCGUAGAUAUCUGGAGGAACAUCAGUGGCGAAGGCGACUAUCUGGCACAUAACUGACGCUGAGGAGCGAAAGCGUGGGUAGCAAACAGGAUUAGAUACCCUCGUAGAC